Molecule: small nucleolar RNA, 246 nt
Organism: Crocodylus porosus (Australian saltwater crocodile)
Lineage: Eukaryota; Metazoa; Chordata; Crocodylia; Crocodylidae
Gene: SNORA53
Product: small nucleolar RNA, H/ACA box 53
Source: Ensembl
AACAUGCUCCUUAGAUCCAUCUUUGUGGAUAUCUCUUGGGCUGAGUUCUGUUUGGUAACUCUCGGUUUCUGGCAGUUCCAGUCAAGUGAUAUUCGGCAACUUUUUUGGUUGUACAGUCAAAGGUGCUUGAGUCAUUGGCAUGUGAGAGCAAUAUACCUGCAUGUUAGUCUCCAGUGUUCUGAUAGAAGUGACUGUAGUUCUACAUGUCGUUUCUCACUAUCAGGACUUGGCUGGUAUGCAGACACA